RNAcentral lists this ribosomal RNA (678 nucleotides) under Bacillus velezensis. RNAcentral's name for it is "bacterial SSU rRNA". It matches the Rfam family "Bacterial small subunit ribosomal RNA", at positions 64 to 724 of the family's 1533-position model. Lineage: Bacteria; Bacillati; Bacillota; Bacilli; Caryophanales; Bacillaceae. The record is from RNAcentral.
GAGCGGACAGAUGGGAGCUUGCUCCCUGAUGUUAGCGGCGGACGGGUGAGUAACACGUGGGUAACCUGCCUGUAAGACUGGGAUAACUCCGGGAAACCGGGGCUAAUACCGGAUGGUUGUCUGAACCGCAUGGUUCAGACAUAAAAGGUGGCUUCGGCUACCACUUACAGAUGGACCCGCGGCGCAUUAGCUAGUUGGUGAGGUAACGGCUCACCAAGGCGACGAUGCGUAGCCGACCUGAGAGGGUGAUCGGCCACACUGGGACUGAGACACGGCCCAGACUCCUACGGGAGGCAGCAGUAGGGAAUCUUCCGCAAUGGACGAAAGUCUGACGGAGCAACGCCGCGUGAGUGAUGAAGGUUUUCGGAUCGUAAAGCUCUGUUGUUAGGGAAGAACAAGUGCCGUUCAAAUAGGGCGGCACCUUGACGGUACCUAACCAGAAAGCCACGGCUAACUACGUGCCAGCAGCCGCGGUAAUACGUAGGUGGCAAGCGUUGUCCGAAAUUAUUGGGCGUAAAGGGCUCGCAGGCGGUUUCUUAAGUCUGAUGUGAAAGCCCCCGGCUCAACCGGGGAGGGUCAUUGGAAACUGGGGAACUUGAGUGCAGAAGAGGAGAGUGGAAUUCCACGUGUAUCGGUGAAAUGCGUAUAGAUGUGGAGGAACACCAGUGGCGAAGGCGA